RNAcentral lists this ribosomal RNA (253 nucleotides) under uncultured bacterium. Its description in RNAcentral is "partial 16S ribosomal RNA". It matches the Rfam family "Bacterial small subunit ribosomal RNA", at positions 524 to 776 of the family's 1533-position model. The record is from RNAcentral.
UACAGAGGGGGCAAGCGUUAUUCGGAAUUACUGGGCGUAAAGGGCGCGUAGGCGGCCUUCUAAGUCGAACGUGAAAUCCCCGGGCUCAACCCGGGAACUGCGUCCGAUACUGGAAGGCUUGAAUCCGGGAGAGGGAUGCGGAAUUCCAGGUGUAGCGGUGAAAUGCGUAGAUAUCUGGAGGAACACCGGUGGCGAAGGCGGCAUCCUGGACCGGCAUUGACGCUGAGGCGCGAAAGCCAGGGGAGCAAACGGG